This 482-nucleotide ribosomal RNA is filed under the name uncultured bacterium. RNAcentral's name for it is "partial 16S ribosomal RNA". It matches the Rfam family "Bacterial small subunit ribosomal RNA", at positions 30 to 507 of the family's 1533-position model. The record is from RNAcentral.
AUUGAACGCUGGCGGCAUGCCUUACACAUGCAAGUCGAACGGUAACGGGCCUUCGGGUGCCGACGAGUGGCGAACGGGUGAGUAAUACAUCGGAACGUGCCCGAUCGUGGGGGAUAACGCGGCGAAAGCUUUGCUAAUACCGCACACGAUCUACGGAUGAAAGCAGGGGACCGCAAGGCCCUGCGCGGUCGGAGCGGCCGAUGGCAGAUUAGGUAGUUGGUGGGAUAAAAGCUUACCAAGCCGACGAUCUGUAGCUGGUCUGAGAGGAUGAUCAGCCACACUGGGACUGAGACACGGCCCAGACUCCUACGGGAGGCAGCAGUGGGGAAUUUUGGACAAUGGGCGCAAGCCUGAUCCAGCCAUGCCGCGUGCAGGAUGAAGGCCUUCGGGUUGUAAACUGCUUUUGUACGGAACGAAAAGCCUUCUUUUAAUACAGGAGGGUCAUGACGGUACCGUAAGAAUAAGCACCGGCUAACUACGUG